GUACAUAUUAUGAGUUGCUAAACUCUCGUUAAUACCUGAGAAGAAAAAUAAAUUAUAUCAAGUUCAUCGUUAAUACCUGAUACUAACUUCAUUUUUUUAGAAAAAAACCGUAAUUAAGCACUUAGAGCGCCAGAUCGAGGAGCAAAAUUUUUCUUUAAAAUUGAAAAUGAAACCUAUUCGCUCCAUUUCUCCUCUUUCAACAUACAUUGUUUAGAAAAAAAAAUCGCUUUCAACAUGAAAUUAAGUUUUGAAACUGCUUCUCUCUCAACUUGCAAGCCGCUGCUUCAACGACUGAAUUCGAUCGACGACUGAAUUGAAUUUGCUGUGCCGACUGAAUUUCGCUGCUUCGACCUAAUUUCAACCAAGUUAUUUGGUAUAUGAAGAAGAAAACAACCAUGCACAUCAUCGACAACUUAGGAAUGAUUUAUGUAGUUUUAAAGCUUUAUAGGAUGAGAUGACUAUUUGAAAGAUCUUCAAACUCAUUUAUGUUUCUAGCGGCUUGUACUAAAAUCAAUUGAUAUUAUGUUAACGAUUUAUUUCUAUUUUUAGUUUUUAUC
Molecule: long non-coding RNA, 557 nt
Organism: Beta vulgaris subsp. vulgaris (sugar beet)
Lineage: Eukaryota; Viridiplantae; Streptophyta; Magnoliopsida; Caryophyllales; Amaranthaceae
Exons: 2
Source: RefSeq, a predicted model, not a curated record